AAGCGAGAGUUUCUGUCCGUCAUUUUAAAACAGGGAUAGCCGUGAGUGAGUCGCCCAGGCAGCAUCACGCUGAAGUCAUUAUUGAAAUGUUGCUCCUUUUCACACAUAAACCCACAGUGAAUCACCAAAGUCUUUUAACCCUAUUCCACAUCCUAUUCACCACAAGACAAGUGGACACAAGUCCAUAAUGUAUAUACCAUAUAUGUUUGGUAGCAAUGUAUACCACGAAUAAAGUUGAUGAAUUUAA
Haliotis rubra (blacklip abalone) is the source of this 247-nucleotide long non-coding RNA. RefSeq lists it as uncharacterized. NCBI's taxonomy places the organism in Eukaryota, Metazoa, Mollusca, Gastropoda, Lepetellida, Haliotidae. The record is from RefSeq and is a predicted model, not a curated record. The transcript has 2 exons.